GCCGUGUCAAAAGACCUUAUCCAC
RNAcentral lists this small RNA (24 nucleotides) under Arabidopsis thaliana (thale cress). Its description in RNAcentral is "ATSL062440". The record is from RNAcentral. Lineage: Eukaryota; Viridiplantae; Streptophyta; Magnoliopsida; Brassicales; Brassicaceae.